This 268-nucleotide long non-coding RNA is filed under the name Homo sapiens (human). Its description in RNAcentral is "HSALNT0323261". Lineage: Eukaryota; Metazoa; Chordata; Mammalia; Primates; Hominidae. The record is from RNAcentral.
GAGUGUCUCCGCCCGGCAGCCACCCCGUCCGGGAGGGAGGUGGGGGUCAGCCCCCGCCAGGCCAGCCGCCCUGUCCGGGAGGUGAGGGGCGCCUCUGCCCGGCAGCCCCUACUGGGAAGUGAGGAGCCCCCCGCCCGGCCAGCCGCCCCGUCCGGGAGGGAGGUGGGGGGGUCAGCCCCCCGCCCGGCCAGCCGCCCCGCCCGGGAGGUGAGGGGCGCCUCUGCCCGGCCGCCCCUACUGGGAAGUGAGGAGCCCCUCUGCCCGGCCA